Molecule: long non-coding RNA, 214 nt
Filed under: Capsicum annuum
Lineage: Eukaryota; Viridiplantae; Streptophyta; Magnoliopsida; Solanales; Solanaceae
Description: long non-coding RNA (CANN_LNC009427)
Source: RNAcentral
AUUCUUUGUAAAACUUUACAGAUAAGUAUGUGAUCAUCAAGCAAAGAAUGAUUACAUCUGGAUAAGUGGGUUUUCUUUUGAACUUUCCGUAGUGAACAUGCAUUGGAUGCACUUGGUCAAUCGGUAGAUUUGAUAUCUUUGAACCGUUGAUCUUUAAUGUACACCUAGAUAACACAUGUCAUACAACCAGACUUUUACCGUUUAUGGUUCUCAC